Molecule: ribosomal RNA, 785 nt
Filed under: uncultured Glomus
Lineage: Eukaryota; Fungi; Glomeromycota; Glomeromycetes; Glomerales; Glomeraceae
Description: SSU rRNA
Rfam family: Eukaryotic small subunit ribosomal RNA
Source: RNAcentral
GGUAGGAUAGAGGCCUACCAUGGUGGUAACGGGUAACGGGGUGUUAGGGCACGACACCGGAGAGGGAGCCUGAGAAACGGCUACCACAUCCAAGGAUGGCAGCAGGCGCGCAAAUUACCCAAUCCCGACACGGGGAGGUAGUGACAAUAAAUAACAAUACGGGGUUCUUUCGGAUUUCGUAAUUGGAAUGAGUACAAUUUAAAUCUCUUAACGAGGAACAAUUGGAGGGCAAGUCUGGUGCCAGCAGCCGCGGUAAUUCCAGCUCCAAUAGCGUAUAUUAAAGUUGCUGCAGUUAAAAAGCUCGUAGUUGAAUUUCGGGACCAAUAUGUCGGUCGUGCCUCGGUACGUACUGGCAUCGUUGGUUUCUCCCUUCUGACGAACCAUGAUGUCAUUCAUUUGGUGUCGUGGGGAAUCAGGACUGUUACUUUGAAAAAAUUAGAGUGUUUAAAGCAGGCUCACGCUUGAAUACAUUAGCAUGGAAUAAUGAAAUAGGACGUUUGAUUCUAUUUUGUUGGUUUCUAGGAUCGACGUAAUGAUUAAUAGGGAUAGUUGGGGGCAUUAGUAUUCAAUUGUCAGAGGUGAAAUUCUUGGAUUUAUUGAAGACUAACUACUGCGAAAGCAUUUGCCAAGGAUGUUUUCAUUAAUCAAGAACGAAAGUUAGGGGAUCGAAGACGAUCAGAUACCGUCGUAGUCUUAACCAUAAACUAUGCCGACUAGGGAUCGGAUGAUGUUAAUUUUUUAAUGACUCAUUCGGCGCCUUACGGGAAACCAAAGUGUUUGGGUUC